CGCGGCCUAUCAGCUUGUUGGUGAGGUAACGGCUCACCAAGGCAUCGACGGGUAGCUGGUCUGAGAGGACGAUCAGCCACACUGGGACUGAGACACGGCCCAGACUCCUACGGGAGGCAGCAGUAGGGAAUCUUGCGCAAUGGGCGAAAGCCUGACGCAGCAGCGCCGCGUGGGGGAUGAAUGCCUUCGGGUUGUAAACCCCUUUCAGCAGGGACGAAAAUGACGGUACCUGCAGAAGAAGCUCCGGCCAACUACGUGCCAGCAGCCGCGGUAAUACGUAGGGAGCGAGCGUUGUCCGGAAUUAUUGGGCGUAAAGAGCUCGUAGGCGGUUCAGUAAGACGGGUGUGAAAACUCAAGGCUCAACCUUGAGACGCCACUCGAUACUGCUGUGACUUGAGUCCGGUAGAGGAGUGUGGAAUUCCUGGUGUAGCGGUGAAAUGCGCAGAUAUCAGGAGGAACACCAGCGGCGAAGGCGGCACUCUGGGCCGGUACUGACGCUGAGGAGCGAAAGCAUGGGGAGCAAACAGGAUUAGAUACCCUGGUAGUCCAUGCCGUAAACGUUGGGCACUAGGUAUGGGAUCAUAUCAACGGAUUCCGUGCCGUAGCUAACGCAUUAAGUGCCCCGCCUGGGGAGUACGG
Molecule: ribosomal RNA, 639 nt
Filed under: uncultured Actinomycetes bacterium
Lineage: Bacteria; Bacillati; Actinomycetota; Actinomycetes
Description: bacterial SSU rRNA
Rfam family: Bacterial small subunit ribosomal RNA
Source: RNAcentral